This 802-nucleotide ribosomal RNA is filed under the name uncultured bacterium. Its description in RNAcentral is "bacterial SSU rRNA". It matches the Rfam family "Bacterial small subunit ribosomal RNA", at positions 8 to 817 of the family's 1533-position model. The record is from RNAcentral.
AGAGUUUGAUCCUGGCUCAGGACGAACGCUGGCGGCGUGCUUAACACAUGCAAGUCGAACGAUGACGAACGGGUGCUUGCACUUGUUUUGAUUAGUGGCGAACGGGUGAGUAACACGUGAGUAACCUGCCCCUUACUCCGGGAUAACCAUUGGAAACGGUGGCUAAUACUGGAUACGACCGAUCACCGCAUGGUGUGUUGGUGGAAAGUUUUUCGGUAAGGGAUGGACUCGCGGCCUAUCAGCUUGUUGGUGGGGUAAUGGCCUACCAAGGCGACGACGGGUAGCCGGCCUGAGAGGGCGACCGGCCACACUGGGACUGAGACACGGCCCAGACUCCUACGGGAGGCAGCAGUGGGGAAUAUUGCACAAUGGGCGAAAGCCUGAUGCAGCGACGCCGCGUGGGGGAUGAAGGCCUUCGGGUUGUAAACCCCUUUCAGUAGGGAAGAAGCGAAAGUGACGGUACCUGCAGAAGAAGCGCCGGCUAACUACGUGCCAGCAGCCGCGGUAAUACGUAGGGCGCAAGCGUUGUCCGGAAUUAUUGGGCGUAAAGAGCUCGUAGGCGGCUUGUCGCGUCUGCCGUGAAAGUCCGGGGCUUAACUCCGGAUCUGCGGCGGGUACGGGCAGGCUAGAGUGCGGUAGGGGUGACUGGAAUUCCUGGUGUAGCGGUGGAAUGCGCAGAUAUCAGGAGGAACACCGAUGGCGAAGGCAGGUCACUGGGCCGCAACUGACGCUGAGGAGCGAAAGCAUGGGGAGCGAACAGGAUUAGAUACCCUGGUAGUCCAUGCCGUAAACGUUGGGCACU